CCUACGGGGGGCAGCAGUGGGGAAUAUUGGACAAUGGGGGGAACCCUGAUCCAGCCAUGCCGCGUGUGUGAAGAAGGCCCUCGGGUUGUAAAGCACUUUCAGUGAGGAAGAACGCCUGGUGGUUAAUACCCAUCAGGAAAGACAUCACUCUCAGAAGAAGCACCGGCUAACUCCGUGCCAGCAGCCGCGGUAAUACGGAGGGUGCGAGCGUUAAUCGGAAUUACUGGGCGUAAAGCGCGCGUAGGUGGCUUGAUAAGCCGGUUGUGAAAGCCCCGGGCUCAACCUGGGAACGGCAUCCGGAACUGUCAAGCUAGAGUGCAGGAGAGGAAGGUAGAAUUCCCGGUGUAGCGGUGAAAUGCGUAGAGAUCGGGAGGAAUACCAGUGGCGAAGGCGGCCUUCUGGACUGACACUGACACUGAGGUGCGAAAGCGUGGGUAGCAAACAGGAUUAGAUACCCUUGUAGUC
Molecule: ribosomal RNA, 465 nt
Filed under: Vreelandella stevensii
Lineage: Bacteria; Pseudomonadati; Pseudomonadota; Gammaproteobacteria; Oceanospirillales; Halomonadaceae
Description: partial 16S ribosomal RNA
Rfam family: Bacterial small subunit ribosomal RNA
Source: RNAcentral